GCUUGUCUGUGCGAGUUUUGUUUUGCGUGUGGAGUCGUCGAGUACGAGAGCAUUUGCGUUCGCAUCGUUGCCGGCCAAAAAGUCGCGGUUAGCGAAAUACGAAAAGUUGAGUUCGAGAGUGUCGGUGUUCCGCCGCGUAAAAAAAAACAAACACGCGGGUGUUUUUGCGGCUAUUUCGAGUGCAUUUAUCAUUCUUUUUUUCGGUUACUUGCAAGUGAGCGUGAUUACCCCCUCCAACUCCCCCGUCCCGUACCCAAAAGCGAUUAUAUUUGGAAAGCACCGCGGAGAGCGGAGUGAGAGAGAGCGGAUCAACACAAAGCGAGGCUUACUUUGAUGUUGUUAAAUGUACUGCUUACACAUGCAGUUUACUCGCAGAGAAACACUAAAUCUUGCCAAUAAUUGGAUUUAUUUGAAAAACUUUGAAGAUAUCUGAGAUGCUGAGCUGCUCCAUAACCAAGGUAAAGAUUUUUGUUGUUGUCAUUUCCCUAAAAGCUUUUCCACAAAUCCUAUCAAGGGCCAAAGCACAAUUCAUCCGGGACGUACGAAAGAACACCAGAACACCCGAAUGGGAUUCGAACUUUUCCGCAUUCCGGAUGAGCAGUUAGUUGAAUUCAUCCACAUGAUUUUGGGAGAGGAUAUUUAUAUGGUUAAACAUUUGCUACAAAAACAGUAUCACUACGGAAAGCAUGUCAUCGUCAGCCAAUCGUCAUGGUCCUUCAAACUGAGCAGAAACACAGAUAGACCAAACAUCCCACACAUAUAAAGCGGAGAAAGUGAAAAUACAGAGAAAGUGAAAGUGAAAAGGACGAAGGAAAGUUCCGUUGGCACUCAAAACUUGCAAUCAAACGACGAACCUGAUUGCCAGGUUCUUAUUAAAUGGGUGGAAAAAGCAGCAGCACGGCUAUUUGCGAGCUUAGAGCCAGGACAUUAAUUAAUCACGGCCUUGUCAUUCGCAAGGAUCAAGGAGUGGCAUAAACAAGCAACCCAGAAAGAGAUAGAGAGUGAUAGAGAGAGAUAGAGAGAGAGAGAGACGAGC
Drosophila ficusphila is the source of this 1036-nucleotide long non-coding RNA. RefSeq lists it as uncharacterized. The transcript is spliced from 7 exons. The record is from RefSeq and is a predicted model, not a curated record. NCBI's taxonomy places the organism in Eukaryota, Metazoa, Arthropoda, Insecta, Diptera, Drosophilidae.